AUGGAAUCUUCCACAAUGGGCGCAAGCCUGAUGGAGCAACACCGCGUGAGUGAAGAAGGGUUUCGGCUCGUAAAGCUCUGUUGUAAUAAGAAGAACACGUAUAGUAUAUGGACUGUAUCAUACGUUGACGGUAUUCAACCAGAAAGUCACGGCUAACUACGUGCCAGCAGCCGCGGUAAUACG
Molecule: ribosomal RNA, 183 nt
Filed under: uncultured bacterium
Lineage: Bacteria
Description: partial 16S ribosomal RNA
Rfam family: Bacterial small subunit ribosomal RNA
Source: RNAcentral